CCUACGAGUGGCAGCAGUGGGGAAUAUUGGACAAUGGGGGGAACCCUGAUCCAGCCAUGCCGCGUGUGUGAAGAAGGCCCUCGGGUUGUAAAGCACUUUCAGUGAGGAAGAACGCCUGGUGGUUAAUACCCAUCAGGAAAGACAUCACUCACAGAAGAAGCACCGGCUAACUCCGUGCCAGCAGCCGCGGUAAUACGGAGGGUGCGAGCGUUAAUCGGAAUUACUGGGCGUAAAGCGCGCGUAGGUGGCUUGAUAAGCCGGUUGUGAAAGCCCCGGGCUCAACCUGGGAACGGCAUCCGGAACUGUCAAGCUAGAGUGCAGGAGAGGAAGGUAGAAUUCCCGGUGUAGCGGUGAAAUGCGUAGAGAUCGGGAGGAAUACCAGUGGCGAAGGCGGCCUUCUGGACUGACACUGACACUGAGGUGCGAAAGCGUGGGUAGCAAACAGGAUUAGAUACCCGAGUAGUC
RNAcentral lists this ribosomal RNA (465 nucleotides) under Vreelandella stevensii. Its description in RNAcentral is "partial 16S ribosomal RNA". It matches the Rfam family "Bacterial small subunit ribosomal RNA", at positions 338 to 795 of the family's 1533-position model. The record is from RNAcentral. Lineage: Bacteria; Pseudomonadati; Pseudomonadota; Gammaproteobacteria; Oceanospirillales; Halomonadaceae.